GGAACCUGGCGGAAGG
RNAcentral lists this ribosomal RNA (16 nucleotides) under Phaeophyscia nigricans. RNAcentral describes it as "partial 18S ribosomal RNA". Lineage: Eukaryota; Fungi; Ascomycota; Lecanoromycetes; Caliciales; Physciaceae. The record is from RNAcentral.